Molecule: ribosomal RNA, 465 nt
Filed under: Vreelandella stevensii
Lineage: Bacteria; Pseudomonadati; Pseudomonadota; Gammaproteobacteria; Oceanospirillales; Halomonadaceae
Description: partial 16S ribosomal RNA
Rfam family: Bacterial small subunit ribosomal RNA
Source: RNAcentral
CCUACGGGUGGCUGCAGUGGGGAAUAUUGGACAAUGGGGGCAACCCUGAUCCAGCCAUGCCGCGUGUGUGAAGAAGGCCCUCGGGUUGUAAAGCACUUUCUGUGAGGAAGAACGCCUGGUGGUUAAUACCCAUCAGGAAAGACAUCACUCACAGAAGAAGCACCGGCUAACUCCGUGCCAGCAGCCGCGGUAAUACGGAGGGUGCGAGCGUUAAUCGGAAUUACUGGGCGUAAAGCGCGCGUAGGUGGCUUGAUAAGCCGGUUGUGAAAGCCCCGGGCUCAACCUGGGAACGGCAUCCGGAACUGUCAAGCUAGAGUGCAGGAGAGGAAGGUAGAAUUCCCGGUGUAGCGGUGAAAUGCGUAGAGAUCGGGAGGAAUACCAGUGGCGAAGGCGGCCUUCUGGACUGACACUGACACUGAGGUGCGAAAGCGUGGGUAGCAAACAGGAUUAGAUACCCGUGUAGUC